UAGCAUAUCAAUAGCGGAGGAAAAGAAAAUAACAAUGAUUCCCCUAGUAACGGCGAGUGAAGAGGGAAAAGCUCAAGUUUGGAAGCUUCGUGGCAUAGCUACGACGCGUUGUAAACUGAAGUUUUUUGGGUGAUUGGGCGACCGGAUAAAUAAGUCCUUUGGAAAGGGGCAACAUAGAGGGUGACAUUCCCGUCUUUGGUCCGAGUCAGUGCAGUCGCUGCCCAGGAAACGACGAGUCAGGUUGUUUGGGAAUGCAGCCUAAAAUGGGAGGUAAAUCUCUCCUAAAGCUAAAUACUGGCGUAAGACCGAUAGCGAACAAGUACCGUGAGGGAAAGAUGAAAAGGACUUUGAAAAGAGGGUCAAAUAGUACGUGAAAUUGUUGAAAGGGAACCGUAUGAAAGUAGACUGGCUUGGUGAUGAUCAAUGUGUGUUUCGGCACGCAUGCACUCAUUGCCUUUGCCAGCCAGCGGCAGUUUUUGCUAAAGGAAGAAAAUCAGGGGAAUGUAGCUUCGAUUUCGGUUGAAGUGUUAUAGCUCCUGGUAAAAUACUUUGGCAGAGACUGAGGCUAGCAGCGGAUCUUUGGGAACUUUGCGCGCUUGUCGUCCAAUGGUUAAGUUUUCUUCGGAUGCUUGGUCAUUGGGUGGCAACUCGUGUGAUGCUUCACCCUUCCGCUUAGGUCGCUGGCGUAAUGCUUUUAUAUGACCCGUCUUGAAACACGGACCAAGGAGUCCACGUAUAGAGCGAGUCGUUGGGUGGCAAACCCAAAGGCGAAGUGAAAGCGAUUGGGAAGAAACUGUUACAGGUGGCACUCCCGGGGGGAUAUGACGUUUUAUACAGAUUGACCUCACCCAAAGCUCUAUGCAUGGGACCCGAAAGAUGGUGAACUAUACUUGAAUAGGGUGAAGCCAGAGGAAACUCUGGUGGAGGCUCGUAGCGAUUCUGACGUGCAAAUCGAUCGUCGAAUUUGAGUAUAGGGCGAAAGACUAAUCGAACCAUCUAGUAGCUGGUUCCUGCC
This 1015-nucleotide ribosomal RNA is filed under the name Cunninghamella binariae. RNAcentral's name for it is "LSU rRNA". It matches the Rfam family "Eukaryotic large subunit ribosomal RNA", at positions 36 to 962 of the family's 3401-position model. The record is from RNAcentral. Lineage: Eukaryota; Fungi; Mucoromycota; Mucoromycetes; Mucorales; Cunninghamellaceae.